CUGGUUGAAAACAGAUAGCAACUAUGAUAGCAAGAAAUUGAUCUUCUUCAGGGGCAUGAGUACGGAUAUUAUUAUUAUUAUUAUUAUUAUUAUUAUUAUUAUUAUUAUUAUUAUUAUUAUUUAUUUAUUUAUUUUAAUUUGGAAAAUCUCUCUUAUUUAUUGGGUUUCUUGGAUAAUCCUGUAUCUCAGAUCUCUAUUAUUGGAUUGUUUCUUAGUUGUGGUGAAGUACCUGAAGAGUGAUGUUUCAUGAUUUUUUCCAUCCCUUGGAAUCUGUUUUCUUAAACUUGCUAUCUUUACACAUUUAACGUUUGUGCAUAUGUUCUUUCUGUUAGUUAUUGUGCCUCUAGGUGACUGGGUCUACUGCUUCUGGUAUGCAUAUUAGUAAUUUCAGUUCAAUUGUGCCUUUAGACGUUAGUCUUUGAGGAUUGAGAAGCUCGUUGUAUCUGCCAUUCCCAGUGUAGUGGAAACAGGGACAAAGGGUUUGGCUUCGAACCCCUGGAAGACGAUGAGAGACAAAGUUUGAGCAAAAUUAACCUCAUGGUGUUUCCCGGAUCCAUAUGGCUGAAAAAGCCUUUGUAUCAGAAUACCAUGGAAUAAGAAAAUGGCGAGGAUUUUGUUUCAGAGAUUUUUUUUCAGCCUUGUUGAAAUGUUUGGCUGUGUUUUAAGGGGGG
This 671-nucleotide long non-coding RNA is filed under the name Olea europaea subsp. europaea. The record is from RNAcentral. Lineage: Eukaryota; Viridiplantae; Streptophyta; Magnoliopsida; Lamiales; Oleaceae.